AGACAGGUGCUGCAUGGCUGUCGUCAGCUCGUGUCGUGAGAUGUUGGGUUAAGUCCCGCAACGAGCGCAACCCUUGUCUUUAGUUGCCAUCAUUCAGUUGGGCACUCUAAAGAGACUGCCGGUGUCAAACCGGAGGAAGGUGGGGAUGACGUCAAGUCCUCAUGGCCUUUAUGACCAGGGCUACACACGUACUACAAUGGCCGGUACAAAGGGCAGCCACUUAGCGAUAAGGAGCCAAUCCCGUAAAGCCGGUCUCAGUCCGGAUUGGAGUCUGCAACUCGACUCCAUGAAGUUGGAAUCGCUAGUAAUCGCAGAUCAGCACGCUGCGGUGAAUACCGGUUCCCGGGCCUU
Molecule: ribosomal RNA, 351 nt
Filed under: uncultured Desulfocapsa sp.
Lineage: Bacteria; Pseudomonadati; Thermodesulfobacteriota; Desulfobulbia; Desulfobulbales; Desulfocapsaceae
Description: bacterial SSU rRNA
Rfam family: Bacterial small subunit ribosomal RNA
Source: RNAcentral